Molecule: ribosomal RNA, 394 nt
Filed under: uncultured bacterium
Lineage: Bacteria
Description: bacterial SSU rRNA
Rfam family: Bacterial small subunit ribosomal RNA
Source: RNAcentral
GACGAACGCUGGCGGCGUGCUUAACACAUGCAAGUCGAGCGGUAAGGCCCUUUCGGGGGUACACGAGCGGCGAACGGGUGAGUAACACGUGGGUGACCUGCCCUUAGCUCUGGGAUAAGCCUGGGAAACUGGGUCUAAUACCGGAUAUGACUCCAUGACGCAUGUUGUGGGGUGGAAAGCCUUGUGCGGCUAGGGAUGGGCCCGCGGCCUAUCAGCUUGUUGGUGGGGUGAGGCCUACCAAGGCGACGACGGGUAGCCGGCCUGAGAGGGCGACCGGCCACACUGGGACUGAGACACGGCCCAGACUCCUACGGGAGGCAGCAGUGGGGAAUCUUGCGCAAUGGGCGAAAGCCUGACGCAGCGACGCCGCGUGGGGAUGACGGCCUGGUGUAAC